AAGCGAAAAAAAGCUUGGACAACACAUGACUGGAAGUAAGUAGUCGGUGUUGAACUUAACUUAGUGGCGGACGGGUGAGUAACGCGUGAGUAACCUGCCUUUCAGAGGGGGAUAACGUCUGGAAACGGACGCUAAUACCGCAUGAUAUUUUGAAGCCGCAUGGCUUUAAAAUCAAAGGAGCAAUCCGCUGAAAGAUGGACUCGCGUCCGAUUAGCCAGUUGGCGGGGUAAAGGCCCACCAAAGCGACGAUCGGUAGCCGGACUGAGAGGUUGAACGGCCACAUUGGGACUGAGACACGGCCCAGACUCCUACGGGAGGCAGCAGUGGGGGAUAUUGCACAAUGGAGGAAACUCUGAUGCAGCAACGCCGCGUGAGGGAAGAAGGUCUUCGGAUUGUAAACCUUUGUCCUUGGUGAAGAAAAAAAUGACGGUAGCCAAGGAGGAAGCUCCGGCUAACUACGUGCCAGCAGCCGCGGUAAUACGUAGGGGGCGAGCGUUGUCCGGAUUUACUGGGUGUAAAGGGUGCGUAGGCGGCUCUGCAAGUCAGGCGUGAAAACCAUGGGCUUAACUCAUGGACUGCGUUUGAAACUGUGGGGCUUGAGUGAAGUAUAGGUAAGCGGAAUUCCCGUGUAACCGGUGAANUGGUAAANUCGGAAGAACNCCAGGGCGNAGGCGGCCUACUGGCUUUGACGCUAAGGCACGAAGGCAUGGUAGCAAACAGGAUUAGAUACCCUGGUAGUCCAUGCCGUAAACGAUGAUUACUAGGUGUGGGGGGUCUGACCCUUCCGGUGCCGGAGUUACACAAUAAGUAUCCACCUGGGGAGUACGGCGCCAGGUUGAAACUCAAAGGAAUUGACGGGGGCCCGCACAAGCAGUGGAGUAUGUGGUUUAAUUCGAAGCAACGCGAAGAACCUUACCAGGUCUUGACAUCCAACUAACAAGCCAGAGAUGCGUCAGGUGCCCUUCGGGGAAAGUUGAGACAGGUGGUGCAUGGUUGUCGUCAGCUCGUGUCGUGAGAUGUUGGGUUAAGUCCCGCAACGAGCGCAACCCCUGCAUCCAGUUGCCAGCGAGUGAAGUCGGGGACUCUGGAUGGACUGCCGGCGACAAGCCGGAGGAAGGUGGGGAUGACGUCAAGUCAUCAUGGCCCUUAUGUCCAGGGCGACACACGUGCUACAAUGGCCGGCACAAAGGGAAGCGAGGGGGCGACCCGGAGCGGAUCCCAUCAAAGCCGGUCCCAGUUCGGAUUGGAGUCUGCAACCCGACUCCAUGAAGCCGGAAUCGCUAGUAUCGCGGAUCAGCCAAGCCGCGGUGAAUAC
Molecule: ribosomal RNA, 1315 nt
Filed under: uncultured bacterium
Lineage: Bacteria
Description: bacterial SSU rRNA
Rfam family: Bacterial small subunit ribosomal RNA
Source: RNAcentral